Molecule: long non-coding RNA, 509 nt
Filed under: Marmota monax (woodchuck)
Lineage: Eukaryota; Metazoa; Chordata; Mammalia; Rodentia; Sciuridae
Source: RNAcentral
UUAAAAAUAUGGAAUAUCACCUUAUAUACAUUCAAACAAUGUAUAAUAAUGGCAUCUUCAACAAGAUUCUCCUGAAAAACAAAACUAAUAAUAUGUAGCGGGGGAUGUAAGAAAAAGAGAGAGAAAAGAGGGUAUUUUAAGUAAUUGGCUCACACAAUAUAGAGGGGCUGGCACUUUUGAAAUCUGCACUGCAGGAUGGCCGGCAGCAGAUCCAAGGAAGAGUUGAUGUUUCAAGUCUAGAGGUGCAGACAGAAUACCAUCUACCUGGGGGACUUCAUUCUUCUAUCUUAAGGUCUUCAACUGAUUGCAAGAGUCUCAGACUGCUUAGCUGGCAUAUGAUUGCAGCAAGAGUACUGUUGGUUACACAUUCAAGUUCACUGGUGAUUCCUUCUGACAGAGCUCCCUGGCACAAGUGCCAGGGUUCAAUGUUCCUCUUCACUAAAGGCAUGGCUCACAAUCGGUCCAUGGUCCCACCGCCGGCGCCGGAGCUGCGCUUCGAGCUCCAUCGU